UGGGGAAUAUUGGACAAUGGGGGCAACCCUGAUCCAGCAAUGCCGCGUGUGUGAAGAAGGUCUUCGGAUUGUAAAGCACUUUCGACGGGGACGAUGAUGACGGUACCCGUAGAAGAAGCCCCGGCUAACUUCGUGCCAGCAGCCGCGGUAAUACGAAGGGGGCUAGCGUUGCUCGGAAUGACUGGGCGUAAAGGGCGUGUAGGCGGUUUACACAGUCAGAUGUGAAAUCCCCGGGCUUAACCUGGGAGCUGCAUUUGAUACGUGUAGACUAGAGUGUGAGAGAGGGUUUGUGGAAUUCCCAGUGUAGAGGUGAAAUUCGUAGAUAUUGGGAAGAACACCGGUGGCGAAGGCGGCAACCUGGCUCAUGACUGACGCUGAGGCGCGAAAGCGUGGGGAGCAAACAGGUUAGAUACCCUGGUAGUCCACGCUGUAAACGAUGUGUGCUAGAUGUUGGGUAACUU
Molecule: ribosomal RNA, 461 nt
Filed under: uncultured bacterium
Lineage: Bacteria
Description: partial 16S ribosomal RNA
Rfam family: Bacterial small subunit ribosomal RNA
Source: RNAcentral